Myzus persicae (green peach aphid) is the source of this 110-nucleotide long non-coding RNA. RefSeq lists it as uncharacterized. Lineage: Eukaryota; Metazoa; Arthropoda; Insecta; Hemiptera; Aphididae. The record is from RefSeq and is a predicted model, not a curated record. The transcript is spliced from 2 exons.
CUGCAAGUUUGCUUCGUAAAAAAUACGCUGAAUCUAUAAUACAUUUUGGAAUGUCUGGAUUUGAGCGGUGACAAAUAUGUUUCUCUCGGAUGCAGACUGCAGUUGCCCAA